AACGAACGCUGGCGGCAUGCCUAACACAUGCAAGUCGAACGAGACCUUCGGGUCUAGUGGCGCACGGGUGCGUAACGCGUGGGAACCUGCCCUUAGGUUCGGCAUAACUCCCCGAAAGGGGUGCUAAUACCGGAUAAUGUCUUCGGACCAACGAUUUAUCGCCUUUGGAUGGGCCCGCGUUGGAUUAGCUAGUUGGUAGGGUAAAAGCCUACCAAGGCGACGAUCCAUAGCUGGUCUGAGAGGAUGAUCAGCCACACUGGGACUGAGACACGGCCCAGACUCCUACGCGAGGCAGCAGUGGGGAAUAUAGGACAAUGGGCGAAGGCCUGAUCCAGCUAUGCCGCGUGAGUGAUGAAGGCCUUAGGGUUGUAAAGCUCUUUUAACCGGGAUGAUAAUGACAGUACCGGGAGAAUAAGCACCGGCUAACUCCGUG
This 433-nucleotide ribosomal RNA is filed under the name uncultured bacterium. RNAcentral describes it as "partial 16S ribosomal RNA". It matches the Rfam family "Bacterial small subunit ribosomal RNA", at positions 29 to 507 of the family's 1533-position model. The record is from RNAcentral.